Molecule: ribosomal RNA, 484 nt
Filed under: uncultured bacterium
Lineage: Bacteria
Description: partial 16S ribosomal RNA
Rfam family: Bacterial small subunit ribosomal RNA
Source: RNAcentral
AUUUAACGCUGGCGCCAGGCCUAACACAUGCAAGUCGAGCGGAUGAAGGGAGCUUGCUCCUGGAUUCAGCGGCGGACGGGUGAGUAAUUCCUAGGAAACUGCCUGGUAGUAGGGGAUAACGUCCGGAAACGGGCGCUAAUACCGCAUACGUCCUGAGGGAGAAAGUGGGGGAUCUUAGGACCUCACGCUAUCAGAUGAGCCAAGGUCGGAUUAGCUAUUUGGUGGGGUAAAGGCCUACCAAGGCGACGAUCAGUAACUGGUCUGAGAGGAUGACCAGUCACACUGGAACUGAGACACGGUCCAGACUCCUACGGGAGGCAGCAGUGGGGAAUAUUGGACAAUGGGCGAAAUCCUGAUCCAGCCAUGCCGCGUGUGUGAAGAAGGUCUUCGGAUUGUAAAGCACUUUAAGUUGGGAGGAAGGGCAGUAAGUUAAUACCUUGCUGUUUUGACGUUACCAACAGAAUAAGCACCGGCUAACUUAGUG